This 71-nucleotide transfer RNA is filed under the name Marmota monax (woodchuck). Its description in RNAcentral is "tRNA.Ala". The stretch from base 6 to 66 matches the Rfam family "tRNA", at positions 6 to 65 of the family's 71-position model. Rfam says of the family: Transfer RNA (tRNA) molecules are approximately 80 nucleotides in length. Their secondary structure includes four short double-helical elements and three loops (D, anti-codon, and T loops). The record is from RNAcentral. Lineage: Eukaryota; Metazoa; Chordata; Mammalia; Rodentia; Sciuridae.
GAGAUUGUAGCUCAGCGGUAGAGCACUCACCUAGCACAUGUGAGGCCCUGGGUUCAAUCCUCAGCACCACA